UAGUCCACGCCCUAAACGAUGCUAACUGGUUAUUUGUACAGGAUGCAAGUAACUGAGGGAAACCAUUAAGUUAGCCACCUGGGGAGUACGUUCGCAAGAAUGAAACUCAAAGGAAUUGACGGGGGUCCGCACAAGCAGUGGAGCAUGUGGUUUAAUUCGAUGAUACGCGAGGAACCUUACCUAGGCUCGAACGCUACUAGACGUAUGCUGAAAGGUAUAUUCUCUUCGGAGCUGGUAGUGAGGUGCUGCAUGGUUGUCGUCAGCUCGUGCCGUGAGGUGUUGGGUUAAGUCCCGCAACGAGCGCAACCCCUAUCUUUAGUUGCCAACAGGUAAUGCUGGGGACUCUAGAGAGACUGCCUCCGCAAGGAGUGAGGAAGGAAGGGACGACGUCAAAUCAUCGUGGCCUUUAUGCCUAGGGCUACACACGUGCUACAAUGGCGCAUACAGAGGGGAGCAAUACAGCGAUGUGGAGCGAAUCUCAGAAAGUGCGUCUCAGUUC
This 499-nucleotide ribosomal RNA is filed under the name uncultured bacterium. RNAcentral describes it as "bacterial SSU rRNA". It matches the Rfam family "Bacterial small subunit ribosomal RNA", at positions 791 to 1294 of the family's 1533-position model. The record is from RNAcentral.